RNAcentral lists this ribosomal RNA (460 nucleotides) under uncultured bacterium. RNAcentral describes it as "bacterial SSU rRNA". It matches the Rfam family "Bacterial small subunit ribosomal RNA", at positions 340 to 789 of the family's 1533-position model. The record is from RNAcentral.
UACGGGAAGGCAGCAGUGGGGAAUAUUGCACAAUGGGCGAAAGCCUGAUGCAGCUAUGCCGCGUGUAUGAAGAAGGCCUUAGGGUUGUAAAGUACUUUCAUCGGGGAGGAAAAAACAAAACUAAUAAUUUUAUUUCUUGACGUUACCCGAAAAAGAAGCACCGGCUAACUCCGUGCCAGCAGCCGCGGUAAUACGGAGGGUGCUAGCGUUAAUCAGAAUUACUGGGCGUAAAGAGCACGUAGGUGGUUUUUUUAAGUCAGAUGUGAAAUCCCUGGGCUUAACCUGGAACUGCAUUUUGAAACUGAAAUACUAGAGUAUCGUAGAGGGAGGUAGAAUUCUAGGUGUAGCGGUUGAAAUGCGUAGAUAUCUGGAGGAAUACCUGUGGCGAAAGCGGCCUCCUAAACGAAUACUGACACUGAGGUGCGAAAGCGUGGGGAGCAAACAGGGAUUAGAUACCCGU